AAAAUGCUUUCUCAGUUCUCACUGGAAAUUAUUUUUUUGAGAGAUAAGGCAUCAUGCUAUCCAUUUUUUUAAAAAAAAAAUUUCAAAAAUUUCCACUGUAGUUUCGUAUUUUUUCAUUUUAGCGCUAUAUGGUUUAAAGUGUAUCAAGUUAGUACCCUAUAAUUUCGCUCUUUCUCACUUUAAUAUUCUGUGGUUUAAAGUGUAUCAUAUUAGUACGCUAUGGUUUCGCACUUUCUCACUUUAGUAUCCUAUGGUUUAAUAUUUCAUUAAGAGAAAAUAAAAUCACAGGGUACUAACUUGAUACAAAAAUAAAACCACAGGAUACUAACUCGAUACAAAAUAAAACCACAGAGUACUAACUUGAUACACUUUAAACCACAAGGUACUAAAAUGAGAAAGAGCAAAACCACAUGGUACUAAUUUGAUACACUUUAAACCACAGGGUACUAAAAUAAAAAAAUGCGAAACCCGGGGGGUUUUUUGAAGUUUUUUCUUUUUCUAUUUAGAAAUAAAUUUAGCUAAAAAUAUGAAUCAAUUAGGAUUCGAACUUAAGAUCUCGAAUACCAACCAUCAAAUUUUUGAAUUAAACUAAAGGGUCAAUUGCAUACAGUUCUUUGUAAACAUAUCGAAUGAUAAAUAUAUCUUUAUAAAGUUCAACUUCUAUAUUUAUCGUAACAAAUGUCUUAACAUUUUCAAAUAUAUGCUCCCGCUAUUAGGAUCAGAUUUUUUUUUUU
This 734-nucleotide long non-coding RNA is filed under the name Ananas comosus (pineapple). RNAcentral's name for it is "long non-coding RNA (ACOM_LNC018650)". The record is from RNAcentral. Lineage: Eukaryota; Viridiplantae; Streptophyta; Magnoliopsida; Poales; Bromeliaceae.